This 356-nucleotide ribosomal RNA is filed under the name uncultured Streptococcus sp. RNAcentral describes it as "bacterial SSU rRNA". It matches the Rfam family "Bacterial small subunit ribosomal RNA", at positions 1024 to 1382 of the family's 1533-position model. Lineage: Bacteria; Bacillati; Bacillota; Bacilli; Lactobacillales; Streptococcaceae. The record is from RNAcentral.
ACGAGGGUGGACAGGUGGUGCAUGGUUGUCGUCAGCUCGUGUCGUGAGAUGUUGGGUUAAGUCCCGCAACGAGCGCAACCCUCGACCUUAGUUGCCAGCAUUCAGUUGGGCACUCUAAGGUGACUGCCGGCUAAAAGUCGGAGGAAGUGGGGAUGACGUCAAAUCAUCAUGCCCCUUAUGACCUGGGCUACACACGUGCUACAAUGGUUGGUACAACGAGUUGCGAGUCGGUGACGGCGAGCUAAUCUCUUAAAGCCAAUCUCAGUUCGGAUUGUAGGCUGCAACUCGCCUACAUGAAGUCGGAAUCGCUAGUAAUCGCGGAUCAGCACGCCGCGGUGAAUACGUUCCCGGGCCUU